GACGAACGCUGGCGGCGUGCUUAACACAUGCAAGUCGAACGGAAAGGCCCUGCUUUUGUGGGUGCUUGAGUGGCGAACGGGUGAGUUACCCCUUAGUUACCUGCCCUUGACUUUGGGAUUACUUCCGGAAACUGGGGCUAAUUCCGGAUAGGGGCUCCUGCCGCCUGGUUGGGGUUGGAAAGUUUCGGCGGUUGGGGAUGGACUCGCGGCUUAUUAGCUUGUUGGUGGGGUAGUGGCUUACCAAGGCCUUGACGGGUAGCCGGCCUGAGAGGGUGACCGGCCACAUUGGGACUGAGAUACGGCCCAGACUCCUACGGGAGGCAGCAGUGGGGAAUAUUGCACAAUGGGCGGAAGCCUGAUGCAGCAACGCCGCGUGCGGGAUGACGGCCUUCGGGUUGUAAACCGCUUUCGCCUGUGACGAAGCGUGAGUGACGGUAAUGGGUAAAGAAGCACCGGCUAACUACGUG
RNAcentral lists this ribosomal RNA (467 nucleotides) under uncultured bacterium. RNAcentral's name for it is "partial 16S ribosomal RNA". It matches the Rfam family "Bacterial small subunit ribosomal RNA", at positions 28 to 507 of the family's 1533-position model. The record is from RNAcentral.